This 253-nucleotide ribosomal RNA is filed under the name uncultured bacterium. Its description in RNAcentral is "partial 16S ribosomal RNA". It matches the Rfam family "Bacterial small subunit ribosomal RNA", at positions 524 to 776 of the family's 1533-position model. RNAcentral also lists the same sequence under 1 other name. The record is from RNAcentral.
GACGAACCGUGCGAACGUUGUUCGGAAUCACUGGGCUUAAAGGGCGCGUAGGCGGCUUGCCAAGUCAGGGGUGAAAUCUUUCGGCUCAACCGGAAAAGUGCCCUUGAUACUGGCGAGCUCGAGGGAGGUAGGGGUAUGUGGAACUGAUGGUGGAGCGGUGAAAUGCGUUGAUAUCAUCAGGAACGCCGGUGGCGAAAGCGACGUACUGGACCUCUUCUGACGCUGAGGCGCGAAAGCUAGGGGAGCAAACGGG